Molecule: ribosomal RNA, 253 nt
Filed under: uncultured bacterium
Lineage: Bacteria
Description: partial 16S ribosomal RNA
Rfam family: Bacterial small subunit ribosomal RNA
Source: RNAcentral
UACGUAGGGGGCAAGCGUUGUCCGGAUUUAUUGGGCGUAAAGAGCGUGUAGGCGGCUAGGUAGGUCCGUUGUGAAAACUCGAGGCUCAACCUCGAGACGCCGAUGGAAACCAUCUAGCUAGAGUCCGGAAGAGGAGAGUGGAAUUCCUGGUGUAGCGGUGAAAUGCGUAGAUAUCGGGAGGAACACCGGUGGCGAAGGCGGUGCUCUGGGCCAGUACUGACGCUGAGGAGCGAAAGCGUGGGGAGCAAACAGG